Pseudomyrmex gracilis is the source of this 1247-nucleotide RNA transcript. RefSeq lists it as uncharacterized. The transcript has 4 exons. Lineage: Eukaryota; Metazoa; Arthropoda; Insecta; Hymenoptera; Formicidae. The record is from RefSeq and is a predicted model, not a curated record.
UGUCAGUUUACUUUUGAGAGGCUAAACAGAUAAAAAUCUGAAAAAAAAAAAACGAAAAAAAGUUGUUGAUUCGAUUUGCAAUAACGCUUUGGAUACGCUCUAUUUAUAUUUAUAUUAAUUAAAAAGUUGGAGCGUAAUCAUUUAUGAGUUCCCUUACAUUAUUGUUGCGCGGAACAAAAUGAAACAGUUGUAUGCGCGCGUUUGUUGUACAACAUUGUAGUUUGUACGUGUUUGAAAAAAAAUGGAAGAAUUACGUACCCCGCAAAGAAUAGUGGAUAUAUCAGAGCCGAUUUUGGUGGAAGACAGUACGUACUUUAAAUCGUCGUUGUCGCUAAUCGCGGUUAUAGAACAAUUGAAUAAAAACGCCACGCAUCACGACUAUUUUGUCGCGUUGUUGCUUGUUCUGUUAGCCGAGUCCGGAUUCCAAAUAUUCUCAUCCGACAAUCCGACAUGGAAACGUCGCUCAAUGUUGAUCAAGGAUAUCCGCACCAGCCAUCUCGACCAACACUUAACAAAGGGAGAGAAAUUCAAGGUUGGUGUGUAUACCAAAAAAAUAUUGGAAAUCAUCAAUAACACAUGUAUACGAGAUUCACUUAGUAAUUAACAAAUUAGCGAGCACUCAAUGUAAAUUAUUGGUAAUACCUUAUGGCGAUAAAAUGGUAAUCAGUAUGUUUUCAAUGACAAGAAAGAAUAUAAUUUAUUCUAUAGUCGAACAUUGUUUCAAAUAUUUUAAUCCACAUUCCAGUAACAAGUUAGAAUCAUAUAUGAAUCUCAAAGAGAUAUCACGAAGAUUUAAGGAUUAUGUGGCUACACCUUUGCGUACAGAUGUAUUGUUAGAUCUGGGAUUAACCAAUCCUAGUUACAUGGGACUGCCGCUAGAGCUAAAAAUGAAAAUUCAAGAUAUGACAAAAUGAUUUAAGAAACUACAUCAGGGAAACUCAUCUUUUGGUGAUAUUUGUUUUAUAUUCAGUUUUGAGUUUUCAAUAAUAUAUAUAUAUAUAUAUAUAUGACAAAUAUGCAAUAUAAUGUCUCUACCUCUGUAUUAUUUUUAAAUUUUAUUUUUUUCUGUGCUACUCUAUAAAAUAUUUAAAAAAAUUUUUUUUUAAUUCAAUCUAAUUCUAAAUUUUUUUUAUUUUCAAAGAGAAGUAGAAAGAUAGGAGUGUUGUUUUGCAUAUUUGACCCAUUUUGUUUUUUAUGAUAUUGUAAAUAGCGUAAGUAUUAAGUAUAUAAAUUUAUUUACAAACACA